GUCCAAAAUGAAAGGACAAAAUGUCAGCACUUCCAUGAGGGUGGAAGAAGUCCGUCUGGCCUUUACAACACAAAAAUGGUUAUGCAUUGUCAUCUACUCAAUGGCAUCUAUCUUAUCAUAUUU
Molecule: small nuclear RNA, 123 nt
Organism: Trichosurus vulpecula (common brushtail)
Lineage: Eukaryota; Metazoa; Chordata; Mammalia; Diprotodontia; Phalangeridae
Source: RefSeq, a predicted model, not a curated record